UGCCAUCCGCCGCGGUAAUACGGAGGGUGCAAGCGUUAUCCGGAAUCACUGGGUUUAAAGGGUGCGUAGGCGGAUAAAUAAGUCAGAGGUGAAAGCUUUCCGCUUAACGGGAAAAUUGCCUUUGAUACUGUUUAUCUUGAAUUAUGUUGAGGUUAGCGGAAUGUGACAUGUAGCGGUGAAAUGCAUAGAUAUGUCAUAGAACACCAAUUGCGAAGGCAGCUAGCUAGGCAUAUAUUGACGCUGAGGCACGAAAGCGUGGGGAGCGAACAGGAUUAGAUA
This 279-nucleotide ribosomal RNA is filed under the name uncultured bacterium. RNAcentral describes it as "partial 16S ribosomal RNA". It matches the Rfam family "Bacterial small subunit ribosomal RNA", at positions 506 to 784 of the family's 1533-position model. The record is from RNAcentral.